Molecule: ribosomal RNA, 513 nt
Filed under: uncultured bacterium
Lineage: Bacteria
Description: bacterial SSU rRNA
Rfam family: Bacterial small subunit ribosomal RNA
Source: RNAcentral
CUUAGCAGAGAUGCUUUGGUGCCUUCGGGAACUCUGAGACAGGUGCUGCAUGGCUGUCGUCAGCUCGUGUUGUGAAAUGUUGGGUUAAGUCCCGCAACGAGCGCAACCCUUAUCCUUUGUUGCCAGCGGCUCGGCCGGGAACUCAAAGGAGACUGCCGGUGAUAAACCGGAGGAAGGUGGGGAUGACGUCAAGUCAUCAUGGCCCUUACGGCCAGGGCUACACACGUGCUACAAUGGCGCAUACAAAGAGAAGCGACCUCGCGAGAGCAAGCGGACCUCAUAAAGUGCGUCGUAGUCCGGAUUGGAGUCUGCAACUCGACUCCAUGAAGUCGGAAUCGCUAGUAAUCGUAGAUCAGAAUGCUACGGUGAAUACGUUCCCGGGCCUUGUACACACCGCCCGUCACACCAUGGGAGUGGGUUGCAAAAGAAGUAGGUAGCUUAACCUUCGGGAGGGCGCUUACCACUUUGUGAUUCAUGACUGGGGUGAAGUCGUAACAAGGUAGGCGUAGUGCU